GACGUAGGGGGCAAGCGUUGUCCGGAAUCAUUGGGCGUAAAGCGCGUGUAGGCGGCCCGGUAAGUCCGCUGUGAAAGUCGGGGGCUCAACCCUCGAAUGCCGGUGGAUACUGUCGGGCUAGAGUGCGGGAGAGGCGAGUGGAAUUCCUGGUGUAGCGGUGAAAUGCGCAGAUAUCAGGAGGAACACCAAUUGCGAAGGCAGCUCGCUGGAACGUAACUGACGCUGAGACGCGAAAGCGUGGGGAGCAAACAGG
RNAcentral lists this ribosomal RNA (253 nucleotides) under uncultured bacterium. Its description in RNAcentral is "partial 16S ribosomal RNA". It matches the Rfam family "Bacterial small subunit ribosomal RNA", at positions 524 to 776 of the family's 1533-position model. The record is from RNAcentral.